RNAcentral lists this transfer RNA (78 nucleotides) under Candidatus Thorarchaeota archaeon. Its description in RNAcentral is "tRNA-Val". It matches the Rfam family "tRNA". Rfam says of the family: Transfer RNA (tRNA) molecules are approximately 80 nucleotides in length. RNAcentral also lists the same sequence under 1 other name. Lineage: Archaea; Promethearchaeati; Candidatus Thorarchaeota. The record is from RNAcentral.
GGGGCGGUAGUCUAGCCCGGCUAUGAUGUCUCGCUUACACCGAGAAGGUCGCUGGUUCAAAUCCGGCCCGCCCCACCA